RNAcentral lists this non-coding RNA (141 nucleotides) under Eucalyptus grandis. RNAcentral describes it as "Bacterial small subunit ribosomal RNA". It matches the Rfam family "Bacterial small subunit ribosomal RNA", at positions 401 to 535 of the family's 1533-position model. Lineage: Eukaryota; Viridiplantae; Streptophyta; Magnoliopsida; Myrtales; Myrtaceae. The record is from Rfam by way of RNAcentral.
GUGGAGGUAGAAGGCUCACGGGUGGUGAACUUCUUUUCCCGGAGAAGAAGUAGUGACAUUAUCUAGGGAAUAAGCAUCGGCUAUCUAGGGAAUAAGCAUCGGCUAACUCAGUGCCAGCAGCCGCGGUAAUAUAAAGGAUAC